UCUGUGAACGACCAUCGACAAAGCUGGAUAUCCGCAUCACUACACGAAAUAGUGAAUGAAUGAAAUUGUCUCCCUCUGAGGAGAUCGUCAAGCGUGGCUAAUCAAGGUACCAAAAGGAAAAUGAGUAGCUCGGAGGAGGUAUCAUGGAUUUCAUGGUUCUGCGGGCUGCGGGGGAACGAAUUCUUUUGCGAGGUGGACGAGGAUUAUAUUAAUGAUAAAUUUAAUUUGACGGGGCUGAACGAACAAGUGCCGCACUAUAGACAAGCCCUGGAUAUGAUUUUGGACCUUGAGCCUGAUGAUGACUUGGACGAUAAUCCCAAUCAAUCAGACCUUGUGGAGCAGGCUUCUGAGAUACUGUAUGGACUGAUACACGCACGCUACAUAUUGACCAACAGAGGUAUUGGUCAGAUGUUAGAAAAAUUCCAAGCCGGCGACUUUGGACACUGUCCCAGAGUUUACUGUGAAACUCACCCUAUGCUGCCACUUGGUCUGUCCGACGUGCCCGGCGAGGCCAUGGUUAAGGUGUACUGUCCGAAGUGCAUGGACGUGUACACGCCGAAGUCGUCGCGCCACCACCACACCGACGGCGCGUACUUCGGCACCGGCUUCCCACACAUGGUGUUCAUGGUGCACCCCGAGUACCGGCCCAAGCGGGCCACCGUGCAGUUCGUGCCGAGACUAUACGGCUUCAAAAUCCACCCGCUCGCCUACCAGAUCCAGCAGCAAGCCGCGGCCAACUUCAAGGCGCCGCUGCGGUGCCUCUCCUACAACAACGGUAAACGCUAGGGGCGCGCCGCGCUCCCGCGCGCUCUCAGGCGCGCAGUCCGCUGACGAUCCUGACUGAGCCUUGGGCUGGGCUGAUUGGUCGACGGAGCCCGCCGUCUCAUAUAUCGAGCGACGAAACCUUGCUGACAAUUGCCAUCUGACCGCUUACCAUGAAUUGCGUUGUCCCGCGCGACUCCUUGGCCUUACAGUCUUAAAUUAGUAUACAAUUUUGCACUUUCUUUCAAUGGUUCAAUGUGAAAAAUGUACACAUAUUUAUGACUUUGUGAAGUGUUAGUUCAACAAGUAAACUUACUUACCGUUACAAAAAUGUAUAGAAAAUUGCUAUUGUCAGGUGAUAAUUGUCAAUAAAAAAAAUAGACGCCUGAAGUAUUAAGUUCUAGUAGUAAGAGCAUUACCAGGCAAUGGACCAAGGGAGGGCAAGUUGACUUCGCCGAAGGAGAGAAGAUGAAAGGCACACGUUGUAUGUAAUAUUUGACCGCCCUAACUUCCCUGCUGCCCUGGUGACGCCCUUUCUAGACGACGUGAAUGUCUACUGAAUGACCUGAAUUCAUAAAAGAAUUAAAUAAAAUGAAAUGAAAUAAUUCUGAGACCUAGUGCAAAAUUGAUUUUGGGUUCGGUCGCAUAGUGAUGAAUUUUCAGUACAUACACAUAUUACAUUUACCAUGAGUAUUGCUAAGAGUUGAAGAAACAUUGUAUAUCUAAGAUGCUACAAUUUUCACUUUUUGAGCAUCCGUUAGAAUGCUGAUAUAUUUGAUGGCGUCUGCAUUACAAGUCUAGUCAACCAAUGAGCCCAGGCGACGCUGUACACUAGUUAUUAUCCUGGUGUAUAAUGUGCACCGAUGUAUGCUCAGACACCGUCCUAAAGAAAUAUAUUUAACUGGAUAAUAGACAAUUAAAAUAACUCUCGCUAUUGCUAUUUCCUUAGAACGGUGCAGUAUACACGUUUGAAUUACAUUGACAUUUCUAUGUUCGUCUUUCUCAGUCGGGUUAUAUUAUAUAUAUUUUGGCGAACACCGCACACUACGUAUGCAAAACAAUAAUUAAAUUUUUGUCUUUUAAUAAAUGUAUGAUAUGCAAUAAAUUUAAUGUAUAUUUAUUAAUAAUAUGUGUUUUAUUUCCAUUUCCAUACAUGGUGUGGGGUGUUUUUAAGUCCAUUUAAUAUUUUAACUGUAUGUAUCCAGUUUUUAAUCAUGUAAGUGUUUUUUUCUAUAUGAUACCAAUACUAUUCUUUAGUCAACCGCUUAACUUAGACGGUCGAUAAGAAGUUGUGAGUUCAGUAGGUACAUUUGAUUGCUACCCAGUGUGCUUUCCACUAGAAAACCGUCUGUGUUAAGUGGCAAGGCUAUAAAUAAAUGAAGAAUGCUGUGCAGGAUACUUCUAUGUGAACUUUACUCUUGAGCGCAUAAUUUUAAUUCAAUCUUUCCAUAGAGUCAGGUGAUUUUCACACUGACGUCGAUUCUGCUAACUUUAUUAAAAAAAAAGUACUAAUAAUUGGUUAAAGGUUGAGUAGAACCUUUAGUGUUUGAACGCUGUUAAUAUGCUUCGAGCUUUAGUAGCUGCUAUUUUUGUUAUUCCUGUGAACGCCGAACUUCAUAUACUAAAACUUAUCAGGCACACCGAGAACACGGGGAAAAUUAUGAUAAUUUUUAUACAAUGUUCGAUUAAUUAAACGAAGGAACUAUCCUGAAUGCGUACAAGUUAUCCAUCAUGUCUCUGUUAGAAAAAUAACUAUACAGUUUGUCCAUCAUAUAGUCGCUUCGUAUUUGUCCGAGUGUUUCACUAGGGUGGACAGGCCAGAAAUCAGAGACUGAAAAACCGGAAAAGACCGGUAACCUUAUAAAGGUAUCAAUUGAAUAGGUAUCAAACAGUAACGGUACCCGAAUAAAAUGACAAAAUACCGGUAACCUAAAAUAAAGGUAUCAAUUGAAAAGGUACCCGAAUAAAUAACGUUUAAUAGGUACCGUUUACAAAGCUAAGCUUGACCGUUUCAAGUAGAGGUGCCUGACCGAAACUUGAGCCGUUAUUUCUAAUUUUGACCUCAAAUUCAUAAUUAAGAUCCGAAACCGUUUUUAAAGUACCUUUUCAGUCCCUGGCUAGAAUUUAAUAUUGUGUAGGUUUCAGUCGGAGAACGUGAUGUAUAAGGACGUUAUAUAUAGUGUAUAAUAGAUAUGAAACUGUCGGUUAUUUUAAAUAUAAAAUUCGCUUCAUUCAAUUUUUUCAGUAGCUAGUCGUUUCAAUCACCAUUUUCAUUCGCCUCUAACUCAAUUUCGAGGCCUGAGGGCCUACCGCGAAAACCGAAAUUCGCCAAUUGCGGGGAUCUUUCUCUUUAUUUUCCACCCAUUUUUGUGUGUAAUUUGCCCUCUUAAAAUUAAAUUCCAGAACGUGCUUAACAUGCUGGAACACGGAUGCCCUCAAAUCGAACGUUGUCUAGCGUUUCAAGCGCAGGUUUUUUUGACAUACAGUUUGGUGACAAGGAUCUCUGCAAUUUUUAUUUGUCGCUCAGAGUAUUUUGUAGUUUGGAGCAUGACCAAAAUCUUUGAGUAAUUCGUGGUUGUUUUUAAAUAUCAUCCAAGUAGAUUUCUUCGUGUGCCCAGAGAUGGCGUUUAGACGCGACAAAGACACACAAGUAAUACACCAGGCCAAAAUUCGUUUAUACACCUCCCCUACUGUUAUAUUUAUAUAAUCAAAUUAUACAGCUAACAGUUCUGUUGCAUGAAUAAUAAUUACUGUUGAAUUAAUUAUUGACAAGAAAGCAUUUGUCGAAUAAAUGUAAUUAAAAUGAUUUAGAUUAUUAAAUGUAGUAAAGUAAUAUUUUGUUAGUUUAUACGUCGCUCGAGUCGUUGUGAUAAGGUCUUCGCACACUAUCAACCCAACAACCACUAAUAUACGGUGGGUGGCCCACGGUGGUGUUGAAAUGCUGUGAAGUUGAUAUAGUGUCCGAAGCCCUUUAUAUUGGUACCGACGGAUAAAAGUAUAAUAGACAAACAUAGUUGAAGAACACAUAGUUUAGAGCGCCGUUAAAAACGUUACGAAACAGAUUUUACAAACCUAGUUUGUUUUAAGCCAUUUCGUUAUUUACCUUAACGUCCUCUAAUCGAAUGUUAUUUGAAUGGUGUACUGCCUUUUUGCCGAAUUAUGUUUCGUCAAAUUUCAUUUAGCAACCAACUUUUCGCCGAAGUUUAAUUUCGCAAACCAAUCCUUGGCAUAAUUUUACUUCGUAUUUUUUUAUUUCGCUACAUUUUUAUAUUGCAAAAUUUUAUUAGGUCAAAGGAGGGUGGUCAAAUUGGCCUAUUGAUCAAUAAGGACAAGCGAUAUGUCACUGGAUACCUUAUUCAAAGUUCUAAAACUUUUACUAUUGCAGCUUGCAGGUAAUCCCAAAUCUUUGUGUGAAAAAAGUUAUACUAAGUUAUACCUAUAUCGCUUUAGACUAUGAAGGUUUUCUUACUGUCGAUGAUUUUGAUUUUGUCUGGGCAGGCAUCCCUCUUGGUAUGCACCUGAUCUCCCAGCCGGGAUCUAUGACCUGCUUCGAGGGUUCAACAGGUGUCCCAAUCUCAGCUGUCAUCGGUUUGUCUUUAGAGGGCCCAGCUGUCGAAGGCUCCUUCGUCUCCGGUUCAGCCACCUGGGCUGGGGUUCCGGUAGGUACCCCGGCUUUCAGUGGCCAUUCCAGCUUCGAUGGCUCCUCCAUGGCCAUGCCACUCCCUAUCUGUUUCGCCCACCUUAGUGCUUCAGUAUGUGCCGUCUCAUCUAAGGAGGUCGUUUGUUUAUUAUUUGCUUUUUUUAGAUUUUUAUUAGUUAUUCCUAUAUUAUUAUAGCUCCCUCUCAGCCAUGCAUCCAUCGGCACGAUGAGUCACACCUUGGAUUAGGGUUUUUGGGGUCGAGGUUGUCUCCUCCAGGAAAGGGGGGUAUAUGGAUAAGAGGAUCAAGACGGGAAGGGGGGUUGGGAGGGUUGGUCUAGGUAAUCCUCUCGGGGCAUGGUUGCUUCGGGAGAUACCUGUGUAGGAGGGCGGGACGGGAACCGACAAUGCAGUGUCACGACUGCUGCGACGCUGAACAUACGGCGCUACACACGCUGGCGGUGUGCCCAGCGUGGGCAGAGCAGCGGGCCGUAGUAGGUAGAGACCUUUCCUUGCUAGCGGUGGUGAAAGCCAUGAUUCGUGGGGAGAGGCGAUGGGAAGCUGUAGCCUCCUUCUGCGAGGACGUGAUGGCGCAGAAGGAGGCGGCGGAGCGCGGCAGUGAGGAAGAUCCGGCCUCUCAGCCAAUGCGCCGCAAGCGCGUGGGGCGGCGGCGGUUAGCAUACGACCGCCGAUUACCCCCAUAAGGGUACCUGUGGGCGGCAGGCUCGGGGACGUCUGCCGCCUACACUAGGGUCCCUGCGUGAGCGGGCGCGACGUUGAUCAACGCGCUCACUGAGGUGGAGGGGUGAUUUAUUCCCUACGAGUCGAGUCCGAGUCCGGACCCCUGCGUCCCUGGGACCUCGCCCUAUAGCACUGAGGCGACAACAGAGGGGUUUUAGUGGGUAAACCAUGGGUCUCAGCAGCCUUAUAUGGGAGUCCCACAUAACCAUCCCAGGCCCGUACCCGCGCCUGGGCGGUAUGCGUAACGCAUUUCUAAGGUUUAUUAGGAAGAUUGGGGGUAUAAAGGGGGAAGGGAUAAAUGGGUCGUUUUCAUGGCCCUCUUCUUCCGAGCCUACCCACGCAGGACAACUUUCCGCUGAAUCGACUUUGGUUCCUUGACGUCGUCGCCCAUCAUCCGGUCCGAGAACAAGUCUCCUACCGGAUUCCAGAAGAGUAACAUCUGGUUCCCUAGUCGAUUCAUCAGAAAUGUGUCCACGUGAAGCGGCGGCUGAAAGAGUGCCGUGCUAAGACCAACUUAAACCCUAUAUAUAUCAGUAAAAAAUUCUUAUUGUUGGGAUGCUUUUAUUUUGCCAUAACUUGUUUCACACAGCGAUUUAAGAUUUCCCGCCAUACAUAAAGUUUUAGAAAAUGAAAAAACCUUUCAAAUGUUGGUUUGUCAUUAUUGGUUUUUAGGCCAGAGUCCAUAUGAAUCUGGGCAUCCUCCUUUUAUGUGGUAAAUAAUUGUGUAGCAAAUGAUUUUCUAAGGCAAACAACAUUAUUAUAGGUAGGUUAGGGUUAUUUUUUUUAUGACCCUAAAAACGAAACUGGUCCCAGAGAUAGGUAGGUUAGGCUUAUUUUUUUAUGACCCUAAAAACGGACGGAUCAUGCUUAUUUUGGCACGUUUUAUUGGAUUCAUUAAUAAAAAUUAAAAGGAGAUUCUUACCUGUAGAUAAUAACUCAAGAAUGAAAUGUUAUUUUGAGCCACAAAGUAUGUAAAUGAAAGUACCCUCUUAAUUUAGCUGAAUGGUGCAUCACCCUACCCGCUUAAAGGUCUUCUAUAUCAAUUCCACACCAACUCAACUCACUUUUGGUUCAGCUUAGUGGACGACGCGUAGACCACCCGACAGUUACCUAAAUGUUAAACAUUGUACUGUACGACAUACAAGAUAAGGCUUUAAUAAUAAUAUUUAAUUUUGAGUCGAGUGGCUGUUGAGUUGUAAUAGUGUGCUAAGACCUUAAUGCAAUAAAAUCAUACUGCAUUUUGAACCUUGCAUUCUAACAAACUAGGUUAGAUUUCAUAAUGCCAUUCAAUAUGUUGCUAAGUCAAGGUAUGCCAAUCAAUACGUUUGACGAAAACAUAAUUGAGAUCUUUAAAAAAUCCCAGGUAAUAAUUUGUCUAACGAUAAUUUAUCAAAUCAUUAGUUGGGAAAUGAUAUCAGUGCGAAACGUUGAGUUGGGAAAUAAUAAUUUGACCAAAUAAAUAUAUGGGAUACGUAGUUCGGGGAGUUAAGAAUUUGCUAAAUAAUUUUCGUCGAAACAUUAGUGAACCUAUUUGAAUAGAUGACCUUAUUAUUUAUAAAGGUAUAAAAUCAAAUGUAUGAAAGUUUCAAUAUAGAGUUAAUUAAGUUUCUAUAUAAAGUUUCAGCUAUUUACUCUACUCACAAUUGACAAUAGCAAAUUCUACCGCAUCCCUCGUGUAUGUCAUCUUCAACUAUGCAUGUCUACUGUCGUUUAUACGUACCUAUAUUACUAAAAUGACGAAACACUUACAAUGGUGCAAACGUAGCGUUUAGCACACCCUAGCGUAAUGUAGUUUGAUUAUUUUUUAUUGAAACAUAGACAAGAGAAUAAUAAGACGCGUUAAUUGGCCCACUAAUCAACAGUCCACUGUACGGUAUUAGCCUGUCAGUGAGAACAAAAAGUUAACAGUUUCGAACUGACGGGCCGAUACCGUCCGGCGGACUGUUUAUCACUGGGUCCCUUUAGAGCUUAUUAAUACGCAUGGUUUUGACAUAUAUAGGGUCGCAUACCACGCCGUCGUUAACCUUUUGAACGCCGAGAUAACCUAUAGUCGUCUCUAAUAGUCGCGCCCACAGCGCCUGGGACAACUGUUCUAGGUGUUAUGGCGGACGCUGUUAAAGUGCCUAACCUUCAACACUUUCAAGUAAGGUAUCAUUAGCUAUAUGACGACCGAUCUGGCGUAGUGGGUAGUGACCCUGCCUAUGAAGCCGAUGGUCCCGGGUUCAAAUCCUGGUAAGGGCAUUUAUUCGUGUGAUGAGCAUGGAUAUUUGUACCUGAGUCAUGGGUGGUUUAUAUGUAUUUAAGUAUUUAUAAAUAUUUAUAUAUUAUAUAUAUCGUUGUCUAAGUACCCUCAACACAAGCCUUAUUGAGCUUACUGUGGGACUUAGUCAAUUUGUGUAAUAAUGUCCUAUAAUAUUUAUUUAUUAGCUCUAGUCUUGUGUAGUACUGUAUUAAAGUAAAAAAGACGCAAUUCCGUCCGCUUUACUAGAUCGAACUAUUCCCUAAUGAUGAUUCUGCUCUUAGUUCAUUUUAGUACACUACUCGCGAAACAAAAUGGGAGCUAGAAGUGACAGUGACAGUAAAGCGAUCCGAGUGAUCCGACCGAACGAACGGCUCUCUGCUAAUAUGAGCGAGACAGCCCAUAGCCGUUACUCCAUUGUAACUGCACGGGAGAAAGCGACAUAACAAAUUUUUAAUUGUACUACCUUACAAAACGUCUGCGCAAAUCAUUCCGUUACAUUAUUGUGCUCAGUUUUUCUCGGUGUUCUACUAAACUCAAAGACCGAACUAGUCCAUUUGUUAGAUUGUACUAGUUCGGAGCGAUCUUUUCAGUGAAUGGGCACGCACAACUCUUAAAUAUCUCGCUAUUGCGCCCGGAACCUCCGCGUGUCAGUGACGUUUUUAUUUAUGACAUAAAGCGUUCAAAAGGUUUGAGAAUACAUUUAGUUACCAUAACACGACGCGUGCAGCAUCCUUUAUGUCCACUCUGAGGCGCCUAAAACGCCUCGACCUUUAUGCGUCGUAUUAUUCGUUUGUCUAUAUUUCGUACUAAAGCAAUGAUAGUGGAUAUAUUUUGUUAGUAAAUCCGUAAGAAUCCGUUUUCAUUGUAUUUACGUAGCUAUUUUAGGCCCGCGCGCCUAUAUUAUAUCCCAGAGUCCCUACCGCAACAAACGAAAAUCUAUUAUCAAGGAGAAUUUGAAAUAUAGGUGGAUUAUCAAAGUAAACUUUGUAGCCACAGUAAAUUUACUGCCAUAUUUAAACACGUGAUUCAAACUUUUAGAACGUCAUCAAACAUCAAACAUUUAUUCAGCAAAUAGGCCACAGAGGCACUUUUACAUGUCCAUUUUUACAAACAAUAAAAUUACAAAAAAACAAUUACAAAUAUGGAAUCAAUGAAAUAAUAAAUACUUUAUUAGAGAUGUAUAGUGUCUCUAAAUGUCAAAUUACACAAAAAAAAGUCUCCAAGGCUUGGCUCAUGUAACUUUGAUCCUUAUUCUUUCAUUGAUAUGUGUUACAUUUAUAAAUUUAAAUUUGCCAUCGCUCGAUAAGAUGCCGCCAUACUUUUAGCCUAUGCUCUAGUAGAUGGCGCUACUGUUUCAAAUUUAACACAUAUCAGUGAAAGAAUAAGGAUCGAAGUCACAUGACGUUCUGAAAGUUUUAAUCAUGUGUCGAAAAAUGGCAGUAAAUUUACUGUGGCUACAAAGUUUACUUUGACAAUCCACCUCUAAGAAUAUCAAGUUCUCUUUGCUAUUAUACACUGUCAGAACGCCUUAUAAAUUAACUCUUUAUUUACUUUCGUAAUACGGCUUGCCGCGAUAUGUAACCUUAAUAUACGACCUAAACCUACCUUACCUACCUUAAUACGACAUAAUUUAUCUUAAUUUAAAUAAUAACCACCCGAACAGGGGGCCUACCGCGAAUACCGAAAUACCUUUUGAUUGCAAUUUACAUGGGCUGUAAAUUGCAAUAUUACACAAACGUAACGAAACAAAAAUCGAGUUUCUUUAUCCGCCUUUCUAUUGCUCGAUAAUGCAAAAGCAAUAGAGAGGCAGAUAACGAAAUAUAGAUUUUUGUUUUUCGCGGGAGACUCUGAAACUAAGCAUCGGAAUGUCUAUGGCAUCAUGCAAAAAAAGCGGCCAAGUGCGAGUCGGACUCACCCAUGAAGGGUUCCAUACCAUUUAUGACGUAUUAAAAAAAACUACUUACUAAAUCUCGUUCAAACCAAUUUUCGGUGGAAGUUUGCAUGGUAACGUACAUAUAUAUUUUUUAAUUUUAUUAUUCUCUUAUUUUAGAAGUUACAGGGGCACACACACAUUUUACCACUUUGGAUGUGUCUCUCGCGCAAACUAUUCAGUUUAGAAACCUCAAUAUCAUUUUUGAAGACCUAUCCAGAGAUACCCCACACGUGGGUUCGAUGAAAAAAUUUUUUUUUUAAAUUUCCGUUCUAAGUAUGGGGAACCCCAAAAUGUAUUGUUUUUUUUUUUCUAUUUUUGUGUGAAAAUCUUAAUGCGGUUCACAGAAAAUAUCUACUUACCAAGUUUCAUCAGUAUAGUUUUUAUAGUUUCGGAAAAAAGUGGCUGUGACAUACGGACGGACAGACAGACCGACAUGACGAAUCCAUAAGCGUUCCGUUUUUUGCCAUUUGGCUACGGAACCCUAAACAUGACCAUCGAUACAUAUCACUACACAUUAUAAAACAAAGUCCCCCACGCGUCUGUCUGUUUGUAUGUAUGUUUGUUCGCGAUAAACUCCAAAACUACUUAACGGAUUUUCAUGCGGUUUCCACCUACCAAUAGAGUCAUUCUUGAGGAAGCUUUAGGUGUAUUAUUUGUAAAGGUUUUGUGGCUAUAAGUUAACUUUUCGUGCGGAGCCGGGGCGAGUCGCUAGUUUCCGAAAAAUUCAGCUGAUGUGAGGUUGCACGGUGCACCUUACUUAACCCAUUGUAUGUGUAAGCACUGAUCAGUGCGAACGAAUUUAAAUUAUAUUGUAUUAAGCUAUGAAUUUAAAUUUAUGCUCACGGAUCAGUGCUCAAACAUACAAAGGGUUAAUUGUUAAUGAUUGCUCUUUUCGUUUAUGCAUGAAAAGAGCAAUUAACUAAGGUGCACCUAAUAAUUUUAUAAUAAUAAUAUGUAUAUAAUAUAUGUAUAGGAUUCUCCGCCUCUGGCUUGCCUUAGCCGGCCGGCCAGAGUGGAGUCGUUAGAGCUAUAAGCUUCAGGGGUGGAAGUGAAAAAUUUCAUAAGACGCGAGUUGGCACAGUGGCUGCUCGCAGCCGCUGGGUAGAAAGCGGCGUACACCUCUCGACACCCCUGAGCCGCUCACACCGGUGUUGCCCUUAAGCCAUCCUAGAUGUCGCUUUUUGUGGGGGCCCAUCUUGCGGGGGCGAGUCACCGUCUGCCGGAAAUAAAAUUGAAUACGGUUUUAUUAGGCAGGCGUCCGGUUUUUUAUCCCGUAGCCCAGUAUUAGUCCAUCGCUUUCACCCAAUAGCCCAGUUCAUUUUAGAUUCCAUCAACUCUCAAAUAGUCCUUACACCCUGGCGGGUGCUGCCUCUGCGUGCGUCCCAUGACGCGGGCAAGGGCAACAUCCGCUAGGUGUACCCCUUACAUUUGAUUAGUGUCAAAAGGGGCUCUACGUGUUGGCUUCGGCUCCGCGCACGCCUCCCAAAGGUCCGGAACACCAUUGUUCCGUGAUGGGAAAGAUAUAUAAUAUAAUAUUAAUAAUUUAUGCAUGCUAAUUAUAAAAUAUUUUGAACGAUACGGAUUCUCUCGAAACAAUGCAAAAUGUUAAUUAAUUCCCAAAUCGAAAGGCAAAUAAUUUUGUAUCUGUGUCGACCAUUCUGUCACGUUUUGGAAAAUAGAAACAUUUGUUUCUUCUUAAAUAAUAAUAGCAAGGGUAAUUCUAAUAAGAGCUAUAAAUUGGUGCUUUUAUAUCCAACAUUUUUUAAAGAACCGUCUCAGACAGAUAAAAUUUUCGAUAAUAAACUGCAGUGAAUUUGGUUCCACUAAACUACGAUCGUUAAUUGCCCCAGACAGAUUUAGAGGCCCUACCGCGAAAAAAUUUAGUAUAAAUGUCUAUCUGCGUCCCUAUCGCUCGAAUACGCAAGAGCGAUAAAGAGGCAGAUAACGAAAUUUCGAUAUUCAUGUUUCGCGGGCCUCGGGCACUCGCGAUGUAUAAUGUAAUAUUCUUUCUCUAAAACCAAAUUUUGUGAAAAUUUUUACUAAGAUUCCUAGCAACGGGCCUUUUUGUGAUAAUUUAUUAAAAUAAUGAAUGUUAAUCUUGUUUCUGUGGUCGUUUACAUAAUUAAUUUAGAUUAUUAAAUAUUUUCUUAUAUACUUGUAUCGUUCUUAGUUCUUUAUGGUGUAAGCCUUAAGGUAAGGUAUAGUUUUGGACGUGAUAGAAAACUAAGUUAGAAUACGUGUUUUGACGUUGACGUACCAACAUUAUUAGUAAACUUUUCCUUUGAAAUGUACCAUAUUUAUAGCGAUUUACCUAUGUAUAAGCUAAUCGAUAAUAAUGCCACACUAUAGGAACGAAACACCAAUAUUAUUAACUAUGUCUACCUACAUAUCCCUAUUUAAUAACACUAGAACAAACACAUUUUACCUAAAAUAUUCUCGGUUAAAGUCCAUAUACAAAAGUGACAUAUAUGUUGGCGCGUAAGCAAUCUCAAGGUACGAGUAUCAAUGGAGGGAGGGAGGGGGGGUAGUAGUACUAGUUCUUCUACAGUCGAACCUAGAUGACUGCAUGACAUCUACAAUGAAAAAAGCCUAGCAAUGUCAUCGUUAAUGUUAAAGGACCAUGGACAACUUUGUAUGGAGUCCGGUCAAAAAACCAACAGAAAUUAGGGUUAGGUCAUAAGAAGCAGUACAGCGGUGUCAUUCACACGAACUCGAGUCAAUCGUGCAUUCUAACGUCACGACGCGAUAGGUUGACGAGUUCGCAACACGCGCGCGAUUGGUCGCAACUAGUUGCGUUAGACUGCGCGAUUGGCUCAAAUUCGUGAGUGACACCACUGAACUAGCACCAUUCUUAGUGCCCGUAAGGCCCGUCAUUAGAUAAAUGUCAAUGAACCCUAAGCUUUCAUAAAGAUCGUCACUGUGCCAAGGUACACUCUCCAAUAGAUGUGCAGGAUCAGCCAAGGUGAUCAAAAAUAUCUGAACAUGAAAUUUCAUGUCUUGAAUAUAGAGGCUUUGUUCGGAUAUUUGUAAACACUUUAGACGCUUCGUUAUAUCGAAUGGCGAUUGUACUAAGUGACAAAUCAUAUUUCUUACCUAUUGGCAGAGAGAAUUUGAAAUAGAGGUGGAUGGUCAGAGUAAACUUUGUAGCCACAGUAAAUUUACUGCCAUUUAUCGACACAUGAAUGGCGGCAACUUUCCCAGCGAUGGCGCGACUUUUUGAUAUUUAACAAAUUUAACACAUAUCAGUGAAAGAAUAAGGAUCAAAGUCAAAUGGUGUUCUUAAAGUUUUAAUUCAUCAUCAUCAAUGUGCCUCUAUUUCAAAAUCUCUUUGCUAUUGGUUAUAACUAUAUUUUUGGAGGCAAUGUUGAAUUACCCUAAAUAUAUCUAAUCUUUUGAACGCUUUACGUCAUAUACAAUAACGUUGCUCACGCCAAGAUAACGGCGCAAGGGAUCCAAUGUGAACCUUACUUGUAAGUGUGAAGGUUACUUUACAGACGACAUAGCGCUAAUAGGAUUUUCAUCACACUUGCUCGAAAAAGAUCUUAUUUCAUGCAGGUAUACUGAAGGACAAAGGCUUUAUAUCGUUCCCGCGGGAGUUAUGCGAGAAGAGAUUAAUUAAAAUAGCCUGCGUCUGUCGUGCUUCUAAAGAAUCCGUUUUCAAAAUUUCACUUAACUAAUUCUCCUUAUCCCCCCCCCCCCCCCCCAUUAUACUCUGCCUUAGAAACUGGGCCAAAGGGCGUAACAUUAAGCAAUAAUAAUACUAGAUAUAUCCGACAUAAGAAGUGUAGAGUGCCGUAGUAGCUUUCUUCAUGUAUAUUUUGUACACAGACACAAGACAUAGUUUAGACGUUGGUAGGAUAUUUGUUGUUGUACAUUUAACUAAGUUCAUUUUGGGCCGAUGUAUUUUGUCGUCGAUAUUUUUUUUUGUUAGAUGUCGACAAAAUUAGGUGGAUCCUUUGUGGUUGGGGGUCUAUUCUGUACAAUAUAAGUGCAAGUUCACUGUAUGCCCUAAAAAUCUUCAUCUGAGUUAAGAUACGAGUAUUUCUGAAACUACGGAAAAUUCCCCCUAUUUUUAGGGGCAAGUUUUGUUUUCGUAUUUAUUCCCUCCAGAAAGAGGAGCUUUUAUUUUUUAAAGUAUGUAAAAAUCACAAAUUAAAAUAUCAUAGAAAGUAAUUUAAUUGGUUCUUCGAGCCGCCAAACAUUAUCGAAAUCGAAAAAAUACGACAUAAAAUAAAAAUCGGCCCGUUUGUAGAUCAUCGUUAAUGCAAUUCGCGGGCGAAUUCUUGAGGAUUUUAGACCCGAGUGCUAGGUAUGAUUUUGUGGACGAUGCGAAAAUCAUGGAUCUUCGGGUGCGAACUGUAUUGAUUAUAUCGUUUUCAUCCCAUCUCAGCGGCUCAAAAAAAGAUACUUUGCAUUAUGAGCAUUUACCAGUGUUGACCGAACGUUAAUUAUAAUUAACCAUUACAAAUGGAACCGUAAACUGUAACCGUCCGUUAUGGUUUGCGGUUCAAUUUAUAAUGGUUAAUUUUCAAUAUGGUUAAUUAUAAUUAACGGUCGACCAACACUGGCAUUUACCCAAAAAGUUUAGUUCAAUUUCAAAUCACCAAUAAGUAUAGUCAGCUAGAGACGUGCCUGAUCGGGCGAUCACGAAGGGGUCAAAAUUAUCUAAACAUAACUUUAUUUCGGACACCCCGCUUCGUCAUUUCAUUUCUGCUGGCUGUACUCUGAAAUGACACCCCAGUAUAGUAGUUUGUACGUAGGUGGUAAGCUAUAUGUACGACGUUGCGUAGGUUAGACAACAGAGUAAACAAUGUAUUGUAGAAAUGGGGACGGGCUGGUAUGUCACCGUUUUGAUUAUAUACAUUGAAGUUCACUGAAUUUUGAGCCGCACAAAAGUUCCUCAUAGGUGCGCCCAUAUCUGAUACUACGCGCGUGUAACUGUAACAUGGGUGAAUCAACUUUUUUCUUGUCACUCGUUGCUAUGGUUACGGUCGUCUGGGUCACUCUUAAAAUCCUUGUUAUAAGGUAAUAAAUAAAACUAUAUUGUCGCCCGGAUGACGGGCCAGAAAAAUAAAAUAGAAGUUGAUCCACCCUCAUAUGCCCGCGACACACUAUGGUGCUGCUAACUUUAACCCUUUGAACGCUAUUCGUCAUAUACAAAAACCUCACGUUCACGCCAAGAUCUCGUCCGCAAGCGUACCAAUAUAAACCUUGAUUUGACAAGAUUAUAUUUACAGCAUACGCCAUAUUUUUUGGCGUCCAAAAGGUUAAGAAAAGAGCUAUAUUACGAAUAUUUGGAUAAACACGGCCAAGUGUGUUGUAGGUGACUGCGCAGGCACUAUGCAUCCCUGGCAGCGAAUGAGUGAAAUGUCAAAAUUUGAAAAAUAUUAUGUUUAUAAUGACUUUCAUCCACUUUGUUCUGUCAGUUAACAGUGUGCCUGAUGAUAUAAGUAGCUUUCGAUUGGAGAAGGGGCCUUAUGCUUCACCUGCAAUAAGGACCUUUUUAUCAGUAUUUCUAUUGAAAUUUCAGAUGGAAAAAUCCUUAUUUCACUUGAAGCAAAAGACCCUUCUGUGAUGGAAACCCCACAGUACGGCAUUAUUCAGUGAUGUUAAAACGGUUUCAUACCGAGGCCCCAUUAGACGCGAUUGUAAGAGCAAUUAAUUAAGACGCUAGUACACACAUAAGUUUUUAUUUUUAUAUACGUUACGACUAGGAUAAUUGUUCAAUUGUAGUCGCGUUGUGUUGAGUAUGAGUAUGUUCUGUUGUAUCAGUUCGGAUAAUCAAUAAAUAUUUUAACUGUA
RNA transcript from Cydia pomonella (codling moth), 15118 nucleotides. It is a transcript of the gene named casein kinase II subunit beta-like, with no coding region annotated. The transcript is spliced from 8 exons. NCBI's taxonomy places the organism in Eukaryota, Metazoa, Arthropoda, Insecta, Lepidoptera, Tortricidae. The record is from RefSeq and is a predicted model, not a curated record.